GACCGUCUAGAAGUAUCAAGAAGACAACGAUGAUGAUAAUGGGAGUGAGUAUACAGCUUUUGAUGGAUUUAACCGUAGCUGGGAUUUCCCUGAUGAUCGGAUUUGGGAUCUUCGCUUUCAUCGCUUCAAUUCUCUGCUCUGCGGCCUUCUUUCACAACGCCAAACCCUACUCUUCAUGAAUUUCUUCACCUACGGACUAGAGUGUGGAAUUGGAGCCUUUGAUCCAAUUGAAAAGAAACACAUGCCAUAUGAAGCAUCAUUUACAAUGGUCAAUUUGGAUGGUCAAAAAGUGCAAGCGGUUGUUUGGUUGUUUUUUCGUUAAGCUCAGUAUGGAUAAAGUUGUGCAUUUAGAUACCUGUAUGGAUUAGGUUAGACUGUUGUUCGGUCUUCGACCGGAUAAACCGUAUGAACAAUGUAAAUUACCAUUUCGCCCUUAUUUUUUACGUUUUUCAUUAAACCCAAUAACAACCCACAUUUUUUCUUCAUCAUUUCAUCAAACACAUUGCAUCAUAUCAUCAAAUUUAGAGGUAGAAUCAACACUAUCUCGAGAUGCAGAAGGAAAAAGACGAGGAGGAGUUACCAGGCGUGAGGGCAGGCGACGACAAGGGUUUUGGCGUUUAGAGGCGCAGGAAGAGAUUGCGGAUGUGAGAGGUUUGAGAUGGUUUUCUUACGGAGGGUGGUGUUUAAUGUAACGAGGGUAUUUAUGGAAUAAUCAUGGUACGCUAUAUUGGAUGUCAUAUGUGUGACAUGUUUCUCA
Molecule: long non-coding RNA, 757 nt
Organism: Cynara cardunculus var. scolymus (artichoke)
Lineage: Eukaryota; Viridiplantae; Streptophyta; Magnoliopsida; Asterales; Asteraceae
Exons: 2
Source: RefSeq, a predicted model, not a curated record